Molecule: long non-coding RNA, 638 nt
Organism: Anneissia japonica
Lineage: Eukaryota; Metazoa; Echinodermata; Crinoidea; Comatulida; Comatulidae
Exons: 2
Source: RefSeq, a predicted model, not a curated record
UGCUAUUGAAAAUAAAAAUCCUUAAAAAACGGUUUGAUCUUUCAAUUCCAGAAUGUCAUGCCAAGGACAGCAAGUUAUAUCUACACCAGCUGCAGAUUUUCACUAACAUCCCAGGAUCUAGGACUACCAGUGGAUUUUGAGAUUUGCAUAUACUCCAUGCCACUAGUCCAUAGAGCAAGAAACAUUUACCUGCACUGAACUACACUAAAAAAAUAAGGAUGAUACUGUAACAACGAAUCUUUAACAAAAAUGUGGUCGAUUGAACCAGUGAAGGGAAAGCAAAAGCUAUAGCAUUUUAACCGUUUAAUGGAAAUCGUUGUCAAGUAAAUGCUUAAUGACAGAAUGUUAUGCAACAGCCAGCAGUGUUAGAAAUCAAUGAACCAAGAAGGAUCAGAACGAAGUCAGCCUGAUUGACCUCACCGUCAAAACAGGAGUUAGUAGUAGUAGUUUCGAAAGAAUAAGAAAAUAGAAAGGGAGAGUAAAAUACAAAGUAAACUGUAUUGUACGAGCUUUGUGCCUUGGUUUAUGAAGAUAAAUCAAUGUACUUUAAUUUACUACUGUAUUAAUGCAAUGAUGUGCCAAAUUUGAAGAUGUACUGUCUCUGGUUAUAAAUAAAACAAAACUGAGGAAAAAUCCAA